Molecule: ribosomal RNA, 253 nt
Filed under: uncultured bacterium
Lineage: Bacteria
Description: partial 16S ribosomal RNA
Rfam family: Bacterial small subunit ribosomal RNA
Source: RNAcentral
UACGGGGGGGGCAAGCGUUGUUCGGAAUUACUGGGCGUAAAGGGCUCGUAGGCGGCCAACUAAGUCCGACGUGAAAUCCCCAGGCUUAACCUGGGAACUGCGUCGGAUACUGGAUGGCUUGAAUCCGGGAGAGGGAUGCGGAAUUCCAGGUGUAGCGGUGAAAUGCGUAGAUAUCUGGAGGAACACCGGUGGCGAAGGCGGCAUCCUGGACCAACACUGACGCUGAUGAGCGAAAGCCAGGGGAGCAAACGGG